Molecule: ribosomal RNA, 253 nt
Filed under: uncultured bacterium
Lineage: Bacteria
Description: partial 16S ribosomal RNA
Rfam family: Bacterial small subunit ribosomal RNA
Source: RNAcentral
UACAGAGGUCCCGAGCGUUAGGCGGAAUCACUGGGCUUAAAGCGUGUGUAGGCGGAUCGUUAAGUACCUUGUGAAAUCCCACGGCUUAACCGUGGAACUGCUUGGUAUACUGGCGGUCUUGAGCCACUUAGGGGCUACCGGAACAAAUGGUGGAGCGGUGAAAUGCGUAGAUAUCAUUUGGAACGCCAAUGGUGAAAACAGGUAGCUGGGGGUGUGCUGACGCUGAGACACGAAAGCCAGGGGAGCAAACGGG